UGAAUUCUCAUGGAGAAACAGAAGAAGGUAUUGGUGGGUCUGGUGGUGACUCUAAUGAAGCUGAAUUCAGUGGAGGUGGUGGUCAAGAUGAGCCAUUUGCAUGAGAGGGUACUGAUGGGAACCUUCUGUUAAGGGUCUAUCUUCAAAGAAAAGAAAAAUGAAUGGCUAGGCAGAAACCAUUUUUUCCAUCCUUCUUUUUAAAAAAUCUUUUGAACAAUAACUUGUCUCUGGUUUUUUUUUUUUU
This 244-nucleotide long non-coding RNA is filed under the name Citrus sinensis (sweet orange). RNAcentral describes it as "long non-coding RNA (CSIN_LNC005676)". The record is from RNAcentral. Lineage: Eukaryota; Viridiplantae; Streptophyta; Magnoliopsida; Sapindales; Rutaceae.